UCUUUCCAGGUUGCAGCCUGAUUUAUCAGGCUGAUGGCUGGUGACUUUUUAGUCACCAGCCU
Non-coding RNA from Brenneria sp. EniD312, 62 nucleotides. The record is from Rfam. Lineage: Bacteria; Pseudomonadati; Pseudomonadota; Gammaproteobacteria; Enterobacterales; Pectobacteriaceae.